Molecule: ribosomal RNA, 424 nt
Filed under: uncultured bacterium
Lineage: Bacteria
Description: bacterial SSU rRNA
Rfam family: Bacterial small subunit ribosomal RNA
Source: RNAcentral
GGAAUAUUGCGCAAUGGGGGCAACCCUGACGCAGCGACGCCGCGUGGAUGAUGAAGGCCUUCGGGUCGUAAAAUCCUGUCAGAUGGAAAGAAAUGUCACAUGCCUAAUAUGUGUGUGAUUUGACGGUACAAUCAAAGGACGCACCGGCUAACUCCCUGCCAGCAGCCGCCGUAAUACGGAGGGUGCAAGCGUUGUUCGGAAUUACUGGGCGUAAAGCGCGCGUAGGCGGCCUUUUAAGUCAGAUGUGAAAGUCCACGGCUCAACCGUGGAAGUGCAUUUGAUACUGGGAGGCUUGAGUACUGGAGGGGAUGGUGGAAUUCCCGGUGUAGAGGUGAAAUUCGUAGAUAUCGGGAGGAAUACCGGUGGCGAAGGCGACCAUCUGGCCAGAUACUGACGCUGAGGUGCGAAAGCGUGGGGAGCAAAC